RNAcentral lists this small RNA (102 nucleotides) under Marmota monax (woodchuck). Lineage: Eukaryota; Metazoa; Chordata; Mammalia; Rodentia; Sciuridae. The record is from RNAcentral.
GCCGGGCAUAGUGGAGCACGCCUGUAAUCCCAGCAGCUCGGGAGGCUGAGGCAGGAGGAUCGCAAGUUCAAAGCUAAGCAACUCAGUGAGACCCUGUCUCUA